This is a long non-coding RNA of Arabidopsis lyrata subsp. lyrata, 230 nucleotides long. RefSeq lists it as uncharacterized. The transcript is spliced from 2 exons. NCBI's taxonomy places the organism in Eukaryota, Viridiplantae, Streptophyta, Magnoliopsida, Brassicales, Brassicaceae. The record is from RefSeq and is a predicted model, not a curated record.
CAUAAUCUAUGUACCAAGGGUUCUCACGAUCUCGGACACACCAUAGAUAUAUGCAACCUGCAACUUUUGGAUGCAAUUCUCCUCUCCUUAUGUAAACGUUUAUUGCUUCUUCUCUUAGUUCCUAUGCCAAUUAAUUCUGGGUAACUGUAAUUGCGGAGAACAAAACUCUAAAAGAACAAAUCACGGCUUAAAUUUCGUGGUUAUUAAAUAACCUGUUGUGAUUUUAUGCU